This 45-nucleotide small nuclear RNA is filed under the name Cervus elaphus hippelaphus. The record is from RNAcentral. Lineage: Eukaryota; Metazoa; Chordata; Mammalia; Artiodactyla; Cervidae.
GCGCUUGCUUCAGUAGCACAUAUACUAAAAUUGAAUUACAGAGAA